RNAcentral lists this ribosomal RNA (253 nucleotides) under uncultured bacterium. RNAcentral's name for it is "partial 16S ribosomal RNA". It matches the Rfam family "Bacterial small subunit ribosomal RNA", at positions 524 to 776 of the family's 1533-position model. The record is from RNAcentral.
UACGGGGGGGGUAAGCGUUGUUCGGAAUUACUGGGCGUAAAGGGCUCGUAGGCGGCCAACUAAGUCGGACGUGAAAUCCCCAGGCUCAACCUGGGAACUGCGUCCGAUACUGGAUGGCUUGAAUUCGGGAGAGGGAUGCAGAAUUCCAGGUGUAGCGGUGAAAUGCGUAGAUAUCUGGAGGAAUACCGGUGGCGAAGGCGGCAUCCUGGACCGACAUUGACGCUGAUGAGCGAAAGCCAGGGGAGCAAACGGG